This 223-nucleotide long non-coding RNA is filed under the name Elaeis guineensis (African oil palm). RNAcentral describes it as "long non-coding RNA (EGUI_LNC077498)". Lineage: Eukaryota; Viridiplantae; Streptophyta; Magnoliopsida; Arecales; Arecaceae. The record is from RNAcentral.
GCCUUCUUCAACUCCCCAGCAGAAUCAUUCACCCCUAUAAGAGAAGAUCAUAAGAAUCAUGACAUGUCUAAUGAUGUUCGUCUCUCUAAAUUUUUAUAAGAUUAUCAAUGGAAUACAGAAUAGCUGUUAAAACGAAAGCUGGAAAGAUUAUGAAACUAUAGUUUAAUCACCACAGCAAGAAGUGAUAUAAUUUAAUUAGUAGUUUAUCUAGGCAAAGGAUAGU